RNAcentral lists this ribosomal RNA (583 nucleotides) under Triticum aestivum (bread wheat). Its description in RNAcentral is "partial small subunit ribosomal RNA". Lineage: Eukaryota; Viridiplantae; Streptophyta; Magnoliopsida; Poales; Poaceae. The record is from RNAcentral.
GACCAAGUGAGGAUGAUGUUGCGGUCGAUGAUGGCAGGAUCAGCGUCUUGGGAUACGACACCACGUCGGUCGCUCUUGUUCCACGUCUUGAUGACGGUGACAGCCUCAAGUUUCCCACCACGCUCUGGUCGAUUCUCGAUAACAAGCUCCCAGACGGCUCCUGGGGAGACGCUGCCCUGUUCCCCGCCUAUGACCGGGUCACCAACACCCUUACCUGUGUCGUGGCUCUCAUAAAGUGGUCUCUUGGCCAUGGUAAAUGCAGGAGAGGAUUGCAAAUGUAGCUUGUCUCCGACGAUGGGGCCGAGAACCGCAGGCUACGUACCCUAUGCAUCGCUGCUUUGACUGACCUAUCUCCCUGCGUCGGCAACCGCUUCUCUGAUGGAUGGGUUCAUCACAGGGACUCGUCAUGGCGCGCUUCAUCAACACCAAGAGGAGACCCCUUCAUCUUCAUGGCCGGCCCUCAAGCAAAGCAAAGGGAGGGGAUCGAAAUCGUCCAUGGACGGACGCGCUGAUGGGGACCUGAUGGAGACAGAGAAGGACCACGAGGAGGUGGCGUGGGUCGACCCUGGCGGUUGGCUCCUCC